GAGUUUGAUCCUGGCUCAGGCACCAACGCUGGCGGCGUGCCUAAUACGUGCAAGUCGAGCGGAGAAAUGGGAGCUUGCUCCCAUUUCUCAGCGGCGGACGGGUGAGUAACACGUGGGCAACCUGCCCUACAGACUGGGAUAACUCCGGGAAACCGGAGCUAAUACCGGGUAAUACAUAGCAUCGCAUGAUGCAACGUUGAAAGUUGGCCUUUGGCUAACACUGUAGGAUGGGCCCGCGGCGCAUUAGCUAGUUGGUAAGGUAACGGCUUACCAAGGCCACGAUGCGUAGCCGACCUGAGAGGGUGAUCGGCCACACUGGGACUGAGACACGGCCCAGACUCCUACGGGAGGCAGCAGUAGGGAAUCUUCCGCAAUGGACGAAAGUCUGACGGAGCAACGCCGCGUGAGUGACGAAGGCCUUCGGGUCGUAAAGCUCUGUUGUUAGGGAAGAACAAGUACCGUUCGAAUAGGGCGGUACCUUGACGGUACCUAACCAGAAAGCCCACGGCUAACUACGUGCCCAGCAGCCGCGGUAAUACGUAGGUGGCAAGCGUUGUCCGGAAUUAUUGGGCGUAAGCGCGCGCAGGCGGUCUCUUAAGUCUGAUGUGAAAGCCCACGGCUCAACCGUGGAGGGCCCA
RNAcentral lists this ribosomal RNA (638 nucleotides) under uncultured Bacillota bacterium. RNAcentral's name for it is "bacterial SSU rRNA". It matches the Rfam family "Bacterial small subunit ribosomal RNA", at positions 9 to 625 of the family's 1533-position model. The record is from RNAcentral. Lineage: Bacteria; Bacillati; Bacillota.